AAUACUAGAGUUUGAUCCUGGCUCAGGAUGAACGCUGGCGGCGUGCCUAAUACAUGCAAGUCGAGCGAACAGACGAGGAGCUUGCUCCUCUGACGUUAGCGGCGGACGGGUGAGUAACACGUGGAUAACCUACCUAUACGACUGGGAUAACUUCGGGAAACCGGAGCUAAUACCGGAUAAUAUAUUGAACCGCAUGGUUCAAUAGUGAAAGACGGUUUUGCUGUCACUUAUAGAUGGAUCCGCGCCGCAUUAGCUAGUUGGUAAGGUAACGGCUUACCAAGGCAACGAUGCGUAGCCGACCUGAGAGGGUGAUCGGCCACACUGGAACUGAGACACGGUCCAGACUCCUACGGGAGGCAGCAGUAGGGAAUCUUCCGCAAUGGGCGAAAGCCUGACGGAGCAACGCCGCGUGAGUGAUGAAGGUCUUCGGAUCGUAAAACUCUGUUAUUAGGGAAGAACAAAUGUGUAAGUAACUAUGCACGUCUUGACGGUACCUAAUCAGAAAGCCACGGCUAACUACGUGCCAGCAGCCGCGGUAAUACGUAGGUGGCAAGCGUUAUCCGGAAUUAUUGGGCGUAAAGCGCGCGUAGGCGGUUUUUUAAGUCUGAUGUGAAAGCCCACGGCUCAACCGUGGAGGGUCAUUGGAAACUGGAAAACUUGAGUGCAGAAGAGGAAAGUGGAAUUCCAUGUGUAGCGGUGAAAUGCGCAGAGAUAUGGAGGAACACCAGUGGCGAAUGCGACUUUCUGGUCUGUAACUGACGCUGAUGUGCGAAAGCGUGGGGAUCAAACAGGAUUAGAUACCCUGGUAGUCCACGCCGUAAACGAUGAGUGCUAAGUGUUACGGGGUUUCCGCCCUCUUAAUGCUGCAGCUACGCAUUAAGCCCUCCGCU
This 890-nucleotide ribosomal RNA is filed under the name uncultured bacterium. RNAcentral describes it as "bacterial SSU rRNA". It matches the Rfam family "Bacterial small subunit ribosomal RNA", at positions 1 to 873 of the family's 1533-position model. The record is from RNAcentral.